GGGCCCGUCGUACGCUUGCUGCGCCGGCCGCCAUCGGACCGCGGGAAUUAUGGCGAGGUUACCUCGAGACGACUUGACUGACUGACUACAGAGCUGACGCUUGAUGACGACUAUCGACUCGACUGAGGUUACCUUGAGUACGUACUCUAGACGUGACUGAGGUUACUCUUGUUACGACUUGACUGACUGAGGUUACCUUGUUACGACUUCCCCGCGGCGGCUGGCACUCAGUCAGUCAA
This 239-nucleotide ribosomal RNA is filed under the name uncultured bacterium. RNAcentral describes it as "partial 16S ribosomal RNA". The record is from RNAcentral.